RNAcentral lists this ribosomal RNA (253 nucleotides) under uncultured bacterium. RNAcentral's name for it is "partial 16S ribosomal RNA". It matches the Rfam family "Bacterial small subunit ribosomal RNA", at positions 524 to 776 of the family's 1533-position model. The record is from RNAcentral.
UACGGAGGGAGCUAGCGUUGUUCGGAAUUACUGGGCGUAAAGCGCACGUAGGCGGCUUUGUAAGUUAGAGGUGAAAGCCCGGGGCUCAACUCCGGAACUGCCUUUAAGACUGCAUCGCUUGAAUCCAGGAGAGGUGAGUGGAAUUCCGAGUGUAGAGGUGAAAUUCGUAGAUAUUCGGAAGAACACCAGUGGCGAAGGCGGGUCUCUGGGCAACAACUGACGCUGAGGAGCGAAAGCGUGGGGAGCGAACAGG